GCUUCUGUGGUGUAAUUCUAACACAUUAUAUUUUCAUUGUAAAACUGAAUUUUUAUUCCAGAAACU
RNAcentral lists this transfer RNA (66 nucleotides) under Atergatis integerrimus. Its description in RNAcentral is "tRNA-Glu". The record is from RNAcentral. Lineage: Eukaryota; Metazoa; Arthropoda; Malacostraca; Decapoda; Xanthidae.